RNAcentral lists this ribosomal RNA (111 nucleotides) under Staphylococcus aureus. RNAcentral's name for it is "partial 23S ribosomal RNA". It matches the Rfam family "Bacterial large subunit ribosomal RNA", at positions 2813 to 2925 of the family's 2925-position model. The record is from RNAcentral. Lineage: Bacteria; Bacillati; Bacillota; Bacilli; Caryophanales; Staphylococcaceae.
UCCCAACUUCGGUUAUAAGAUCCCUCAAAGAUGAUGAGGUUAAUAGGUUCGAGGUGGAAGCAUGGUGACAUGUGGAGCUGACGAAUACUAAUCGAUCGAAGACUUAAUCAA